CUUCGGGGCGGGGUGCGAUUCCCCACCGACGGUAAAAGCCCGUGAACGCUCAAAAGAGCGCCGAGCCGGUGAGAUUCCGGCGCCGACGGUAUAGUCCGGAUGAAAGAGGU
RNAcentral lists this non-coding RNA (110 nucleotides) under bovine gut metagenome. RNAcentral describes it as "FMN riboswitch (RFN element)". It matches the Rfam family "FMN riboswitch aptamer (RFN element)". Rfam says of the family: The RFN element is a highly conserved domain that is found frequently in the 5'-untranslated regions of prokaryotic mRNAs that encode for flavin mononucleotide (FMN) biosynthesis and transport proteins. This element is a metabolite-dependent riboswitch that directly binds FMN in the absence of proteins. In Bacillus subtilis, the riboswitch most likely controls gene expression by causing premature transcription termination within the 5' untranslated region of the ribDEAHT operon and precluding access to the ribosome-binding site of ypaA mRNA. The record is from RNAcentral.